UGAACGCUAGCUACAGGCUUAACACAUGCAAGUCGAGGGGCAUCAUGAUCAAAGCUUGCUUGAUGAUGGCGACCGGCGCACGGGUGAGUAACGCGUAUCCAACCUUCCCCCUAGUAGGGCAUAGCCCGGCGAAAGUCGGAUUAAUACCCUAUGUUUUCCAAUGAGGACAUCUGAGCUGGAACAAAGAUUCAUCGCUAGGGGAUGGGGAUGCGUCCGAUUAGCUUGCCGGCGGGGUAACGGCCCACCGGGGCGACGAUCGGUAGGGGUUCUGAGAGGAAGGUCCCCCACACUGGUACUGAGACACGGACCAGACUCCUACGGGAGGCAGCAGUGAGGAAUAUUGGUCAAUGGGCGAGAGCCUGAACCAGCCAAGUAGCGUGGCAGGAUGACGGCCCUAUGGGUUGUAAACUGCUUUUAUGCGGGGAUAAAGUUCGGCACGUGUGCCGUUUUGUAGGUACCGCAUGAAUAAGGACCGGCUAAUUCCGUGCCAGCAGCGGC
RNAcentral lists this ribosomal RNA (498 nucleotides) under uncultured bacterium. RNAcentral describes it as "bacterial SSU rRNA". It matches the Rfam family "Bacterial small subunit ribosomal RNA", at positions 30 to 518 of the family's 1533-position model. The record is from RNAcentral.